AAGUCGUAACAAGGUCUCCGUAGGUGAACCUGCGGAGGGAUCAUCAAAGGAUUUUUCCAAAGAAAAAAGGGUGUAUUGCUUUUUUCCUUGUAAAAGAGGAGAGGAGUGGUAUGCUCUUUUUUCUUCAAACAAACGAUCACAACUAUUGAAUGAAUGAAAAUUUGAUUUGGUUUGACUUGACUUGACUUGAAAAAAAGUGUUUGCCUGAUAAUCUAAUGGUUUGGAAAAACAAGAGAAAGAAAUACAACUUUCAACAACGGAUCUCUUGGCUCUCA
Molecule: unclassified non-coding RNA, 275 nt
Filed under: fungal sp.
Lineage: Eukaryota; Fungi
Description: partial internal transcribed spacer region
Rfam family: Eukaryotic small subunit ribosomal RNA (bases 1-46)
Source: RNAcentral